CCCUUAGAUGUCCGGGGCUGCACGCGCGCUACACUGAAGGAAUCAGCGUGCUAAAACCAUUGUCGAAAGGCAUUGGUAAACCCAUUAAAAUCCUACGUGAUUGGGAUCGGGAAUUGCAAUUAUUUCCCUUGAACGAGGAAUUCCCAAUAAGUGUGGGUCAUAAGCUCGCGUUGAUUACGUCCCUGCCCUUUGUACACACCGCCCGUCGCUGCCCGGGACUGAGCCGUUUCGAGAAAAGCGGGGACUGCUGCUGUCGGGGCUUUCGGGCCUUGGCUUCGGUGGAAACCGCUUUAAUCGCAGUGGCUUGAACCGGGCAAAAGUCGUAACA
Molecule: ribosomal RNA, 328 nt
Filed under: uncultured eukaryote
Lineage: Eukaryota
Description: partial 18S ribosomal RNA
Rfam family: Eukaryotic small subunit ribosomal RNA
Source: RNAcentral